This is a long non-coding RNA of Oreochromis niloticus (Nile tilapia), 2489 nucleotides long. RefSeq lists it as uncharacterized. The record is from RefSeq and is a predicted model, not a curated record. NCBI's taxonomy places the organism in Eukaryota, Metazoa, Chordata, Actinopteri, Cichliformes, Cichlidae. The transcript is spliced from 2 exons.
UGUGAUUGGACAGCCAGAGCUGUCAGUCACAACACGGAGAAACGAGGCUCCGAAUCCGUCGGUUAGGUAGAGGAGAAGGGACAAGGAAAAAGAUCGGGGCAGAGAGCGAAGUACCGUGUGUAUGUGUGGAGGCUUCACCACGCAGCGUGCCGGAAUGAGGCUAAACCUGUCCGAGGCCCGGCCCUGAACCUCGCUUCUCUAUAUUCUGCUGUAGAUCUGCUGCUGUGUUUGGAAUCAUUGUCCCGUUGGACCAUACACUUGCAGCCAAGCUGUUGGACGGAUGACCUAACAUUUGACUUAAGAAAACUUUGUGUACAGAGGAAGUCGUGGUCGACUCAGUGACUGCAAGGUGGACGGGUCCUGCAGCUGCAAAACUAGCCCAGAUCAUUACCCUGUGCUUUAUUAUUAGUAUUUGCGCUGAUAUGCUGGUACAAGGCUUUGUACAGUUUGGCCAAACAUCUCCCCUAUCGCCUGUCCAAAGGAUGUUGCUCCAGAAGUCUUGUGGUUUGUUCAAAUGCAACUUCACAAACUUUAGCCACGCUGCCAUGUUCUGUUAUGAGAGAAGAGGCUUUCUCCUAGCAACCCUUCCAAACAAGACAUACUUGUUCAGUAUUUGCUAAUUGUGCUGUCAUGAACUUUAACGUUUAACUUGUCUGGGCCUGCAGACUCUGAGCUGUGGUUCUUGGGGUUUUUUGUAAUUUCUCUUCACGUUGCACAGUCUGACCCUGGAGUGAAUUUCCUGUUACGUCCACUUCUGGGAAAAUUGUGGGAUUAUGGUAACGCACACCCAAAACUGCCAAAACCUCUGCUGUUACAGGGCUGCUCACGCUUUCUGAUGAUCAGUUAAUCGAGUGCAUCUGAUUAGCAGCAUGUGGCUGCUACUUACCUUCUUAAAUCCUGUGGAAGCAGUGAGGGUGUACUUAGUUUCUACAGAGUCCUGUGAAAACUUCACAUUAAGGUACCAAACAUAUAUAGUAAAAAGCAGGAUGUGAAGUCCUCUCUGAAACUGAGUACAUUAGGUACACCAGGUUAUUAGGUACACCAAAUUUGGAUAGCUGUUUCUUUCCUUUUACAUGUAAAUAUCAUUUAGCUUCCAGAGUGAGACUCCAAAAAGAUUUGUCUUUUGUUUUGUCCGUCUGUAUUUACUAAUAGAAUGUAAUGACUCAGCCGAUGUUUUCACACUGCAAAAAAUUCAUAGUAUGAUGAAUGGUUAAAAGAAUGCAAAGAUGAAGCCUGAGUCACUGCAAUGAUCGCUAAUGUGAAUGAGAUUCACUGCAUGACUCCACUGGCUUGAAACACACACACAGAAACUUGCACUGCCAGUCUAGUUAUUCCACUCGCUGCCAUUUGAGAAGGAUAGCUGCAGUCUCAGCGUGAUCCCACUGUGCCGCGCAGCUCAGGUGACUUUCAGGAAGUAAUCCAGUAAUAACAGCUGGCCAGCUGAAGGAAUCAUUGGAACUAGAAGAUAUAAAGUGUAAAAAUGGAUAUAGGAGGAAGCUGUCAGUAUGUCAUACUAUACCGUAUAACAAAUUUAAUGCAUAGUAUGUUUCAUUGUACUUCAUUGUACUUAGUGGAAACCAGUCACUUUACAAUACCAGUGUAAUUAAACCUCACUUAUAACAAACAGUUUGCUGUUUUUAAGAUGUCCUUCUCCUCAAGAUGAAUCCUUGUGUUUGGAGCCGUAUUCCUGCACAUGCUGGCUCUUAUUUACUAUUGACUGCGACACAUCUGUGCUACUUUUUACCAGUAUUCUGCCAUGGAAACCCUCAAAUAUGUGCCAUAAUGGUGUUGGAAGAUAAUCUGGGCAACUUUACUUUACUACAGUUUACUUUUCUUGUAGUUUUUCUGCUCAUUUCCAACCUUAUUGGGUGGUAGGCCUAAAUAGCUCUCAGUGUGGGUUUGAUCAACCAGAGACUCAAUCAUGUCAACGCUCAGUGUCAGUAGACUGGCAGUGAUAUGCUGUUUAUUACCAGUAGUAAAUGUGAGAAUAUGCCAAGCAGGGUUGCGGAUUAUUACUUCUUUUUUAAAAUUCAUUGAUUGUUCAUUUGAUCCAUGUAAAUAAAAUACCCACAUCAACAUUUCAAAGCUGAGAAAUCAUAAAAAGUCCUGUAUUGCCCAACCAACAGUCCAAGGGUCUCAACUGUGAGCGAUACAGAAACAUUAAUCGAAAACAGCUGAAAAUCCGAUGCAUUACUUUUUACAGAAACUGGACACUUCCUGCUCAUUUCCAGCUCCAGAUUUUUAUACUCAACUCUGUUUGAGUAGCUUUGCAUGAUUCCAGUGUUAGGAUAAUGCUUAUUUCUCUCAUCUGUCUCAAACAAGCUGUUUUAGCUCCUCUUCUUUUAAGUCAAACGAAAAUUUUAAACAACAGGUGGGAGGGUCCUCUGUCCUGAAGAGUACAAUAUCAGGAGCUGACACUGGAAUGAACCCGAGCUAGUUUUAAAUUCUACUCAUUUUUGGUUGAUUUGGUUGAUUCUCUAUUCUAUUAA